AGUAGAUUAAAUGUAAGUUUAUAAACCGCAUUUACAAAAAGUGUAAUUAUACUAUUCAGGAGAGAAUGAAAACUGCCAGAAUAAUGUUAUUAUGUUAACAUGAAAUAAUAUGAGCUUUUUUAAAGGAACACUUUAAGUAUCAUACUUCCUACAGGCCAUUGAUGUAGCCUUUGUAGAGUGCCUUGGUGCCCUACCAAUGUAAGUAAUCAAGAACAGUUUGACCAUUUGCAGAAAAACCUGCCGCCACCUAUACACCCUAGACAUUCCUGCACUGAACAAAGCCAAGUAGUGCAGGGAGGGAUUCAAAGGUUUAGAGCAAUCAGUUUGACACAUUCGGCCAGGGUACCAACCCUUAACUGGAGGGCUUAGCUGACAAUAGCACCUUGCAACAGCUUCACACUCCAGAGGAGGAGGUGGACAGCUGGCAGACACAAGGUAAGUUUCAAACCAUUCUUAAACAGUAUGACUACUUGUACUGGUAUGGUGCCAGGGCACUUCUGGAACCAUAAUUAAUGCAGUGAGCUGUAGUUGUGUUGGUGAUUGGAGAGUUUCUUUAAUUGGUGAAGCAGUAUAUAAAGUCUGUAUGUUAGCACUGAAAAUCUUUUUUUUAUUUACCCUUAAACAUCCUAGAAAGCCUUAUGAACACCCAUCCUACUUAUUCUUCUUUUUAGUUAAUCCUAAGCCAAUAUUUCUCAUUCUAUUAAUGCUACACUUACUUAAAAAAAAUAAAGAAUGCCUCCCAGCAGUCCCAUAAUCAGAUUUGGAGUCCUGUCCUGCCAUCUCAGGUUUGCGCUCUGGUUUGCACUGCACAAAGUUCUUUAGAAGAGCUUUUCACAUUGGCAGUCCUUAGUGAUUGUGGUCAACAUGGCUGUCAGUCAGCCUGGCAUGUUUUCACACCACACUGAUUGGUCCCAUUUCUGGGUGAGACCAUAUAAAAAUAUUGCUUUCAUGUGGAAUGUCACACCCCGCCAUUCCAAUUCCAGUUUUGGAAGGUACAACUAAAUACUGCUAUAUCCAUUCAUUACCUUGCUAUUUACACCUAUAUUUACGAUUACUUUAGCUUAUCUGCUCUUGAUACCGUUCACCCAACCCUUUCAGUAUUUUCAAUUUAUUAAAGCAUUAUAUACAUGCUGUCAUUCAUUGUGUAUGUCACAUUUCCAAUGCAAAUAUCAGCAUCAUUCUCCAAAGGUUCUGCAGAAGUCAUCAUAAUAUGUUUCAUUUGUUCCAUUGCUAUAUGGUGAAUAUCUGGCAAAACAGUGUAGUCUCUCUCUGGAGUAUGCUUUUCUUCUUUGCUCUCAUCUUCAACAAAAUACACUUCUUUUUCCAUUUGCUUUUGCUUGUCACAUCUUUCUUCAAUAAUGUCCUCAUUUGCAAGAAAUUCCAAUUGUACAUGUUGUGUUUCAUUCCCAGAUAUCUUUGUCCACUCCU
Molecule: non-coding RNA, 1428 nt
Organism: Pelobates cultripes (western spadefoot toad)
Lineage: Eukaryota; Metazoa; Chordata; Amphibia; Anura; Pelobatidae
Source: the annotation of a GenBank genome assembly